Molecule: ribosomal RNA, 255 nt
Filed under: uncultured bacterium
Lineage: Bacteria
Description: partial 16S ribosomal RNA
Rfam family: Bacterial small subunit ribosomal RNA
Source: RNAcentral
UACGUAGGGUGCAAGCGUUGUCCGGAAUUACUGGGCGUAAAGAGUUCGUAGGCGGUUUGUCACGUCGUUUUGUGAAAACUCACAGCUCAACUGUGAGCCUGCAGGCGAUACGGGCAGACUUGAGUACUGCAGGGGAGACUGGAAUUCCUGGUGUAGCGGUGAAAUGCGCAGAUAUCAGGAGGAACACCGGUGGCGAAGGCGGGUCUCUGGGCAGUAACUGACGCUGGAGGAACGAAAGCGUGGGUAGCGAACAGG